UGCAGUCGAGCGGACAGAUGGGAGCUUGCUCCCUGAUGUCAGCGGCGGACGGGUGAGUAACACGUGGGUAACCUGCCUGUAAGACUGGGAUAACUCCGGGAAACCGGGGCUAAUACCGGAUGCUUGAUUGAACCGCAUGGUUCAAUUAUAAAAGGUGGCUUUUAGCUACCACUUACAGAUGGACCCGCGGCGCAUUAGCUAGUUGGUGAGGUAACGGCUCACCAAGGCAACGAUGCGUAGCCAACCUGAGAGGGUGAUCGGCCACACUGGGACUGAGACACGGCCCAAACUCCUACGGGAGGCAGCAGUAGGGAAUCUUCCGCAAUGGACGAAAGUCUGACGGAGCAACGCCGCGUGAGUGAUGAAGGUUUUCGGAUCGUAAAACUCUGUUGUUAGGGAAGAACAAGUACCGUUCGAAUAGGGCGGUACCUUGACGGUACCUAACCAGAAAGCCACGGCUAACUACGUGCCAGCAGCCGCGGUAAUACGUAGGUGGCAAGCGUUGUCCGGAAUUAUUGGGCGUAAAGCGCGCGCAGGCGGUUUCUUAAGUCUGAUGUGAAAGCCCCCGGCUCAACCGGGGAGGGUCAUUGGAAACUGGGGAACUUGAGUGCAGAAAAGGAGAGUGGAAUUCCACGUGUAGCGGUGAAAUGCGUAGAGAUGUGGAGGAACACCAGUGGCGAAGGCGACUCUCUGGUCUGUAACUGACGCUGAGGCGCGAAAGCGUGGGGAGCGAACAGGAUUAGAUACCCUGGUAGUCCACGCCGUAAACGAUGAGUGCUAAGUGUUAGAGGGUUUCCGCCCUUUAGUGCUGCAGCAAACGCAUUAAGCACUCCGCCUGGGGAGUACGGUCGCAAGACUGAAACUCAAAGGAAUUGACGGGGGCCCGCACAAGCGGUGGAGCAUGUGGUUUAAUUCGAAGCAACGCGAAGAACCUUACCAGGUCUUGACAUCCUCUGACAACCCUAGAGAUAGGGCUUCCCCUUCGGGGGCAGAGUGACAGGUGGUGCAUGGUUGUCGUCAGCUCGUGUCGUGAGAUGUUGGGUUAAGUCCCGCAACGAGCGCAACCCUUGAUCUUAGUUGCCAGCAUUCAGUUGGGCACUCUAAGGUGACUGCCGGUGACAAACCGGAGGAGGGUGGGGAUGACGUCAAAUCAUCAUGCCCCUUUUGACCGGGGCUACCACCGU
RNAcentral lists this ribosomal RNA (1184 nucleotides) under Bacillus licheniformis. Its description in RNAcentral is "bacterial SSU rRNA". It matches the Rfam family "Bacterial small subunit ribosomal RNA", at positions 56 to 1223 of the family's 1533-position model. Lineage: Bacteria; Bacillati; Bacillota; Bacilli; Caryophanales; Bacillaceae. The record is from RNAcentral.